This 254-nucleotide ribosomal RNA is filed under the name uncultured bacterium. RNAcentral describes it as "partial 16S ribosomal RNA". It matches the Rfam family "Bacterial small subunit ribosomal RNA", at positions 524 to 776 of the family's 1533-position model. The record is from RNAcentral.
UACGAAGGGGGGCUAGCGUUGUUCGGAAUUACUGGGCGUAAAGCGCGCGCAGGCGGUCUUCCAAGUCAGUGGUGAAAGCCCGGAGCUCAACUCCGGAACUGCCAUUGAAACUGUUAGACUUGAGGACGAGAGGGGUGAGUGGAAUUCCCAGUGUAGAGGUGAAAUUCGUAGAUAUUGGGAAGAACACCGGUGGCGAAGGCGGCUCACUGGCUCGUAUCUGACGCUCAGGCGCGACAGCGUGGGGAUCAAACAGG